This 1779-nucleotide ribosomal RNA is filed under the name Triticum aestivum (bread wheat). Its description in RNAcentral is "partial small subunit ribosomal RNA". Lineage: Eukaryota; Viridiplantae; Streptophyta; Magnoliopsida; Poales; Poaceae. The record is from RNAcentral.
AUGUCACCGAACAACGAGGCCAUGCCCAGUGCCAUCAGACCGACAGCCACACAGGCCACAAAAGGAGAACCGAGGAGUGGACGAGCACAAACUAGGGGGGAGGGGCAUGAGUCGUACAACAGCGAGGAUGACAACAUCCAUUAUAAACAAACGAGGGGCGGGAUAGCGAAGGAGGCGCAGGCAGAAAUGCCCCAAAGCCAUCCGACGGGAGAAGACGAGGCAGAACCGUGGGAGAAUUGCACUAUGACCCUAGUAGCAAUGCUCCGGCAACAUAAAUCGCCGCGAAAAACCCACUUGGAGAUGGUACGAGAAGCGUUACAAACUACUACGAUCGAGCUGAAUUUCGCCAGCUUCCUCCAAGAAAUGGGCUGUCUAUGCCUAUUCCGGGACAAAUGGAGGCGCAAGAGACGGCCGGAGAAGUCGGCGCCGGCUUCCCAUUCUCAGGCAGCCGCGGCCUCUUACUACGCCGCAUGCACGCACGACGCGUCCGUACCAGCCGCCGCUGCCUCGACCGCGUCGCCGGCCUGCAGCGCUACUGCUACGAGCACAUCCGACGGCUCAGGCACGCGGCCGGCGUCGAGCAAGUCCUUGGGCUCCUCCGCGCGGAGCAUCCCGGAGCUGUACGGGGAAAGGGGCGCGCAAAGCCUGCUGGAGUUCGGCCUCAGCGAGCUCCGUGGCGCCACGGCCAACUUCAGCCCGCUGCUCAUGGUCGGCAUGGGCGGCUUCGGGUGCGUCUACAGGGGCGCCCUCCGCCUCCCUGUCGGGAACCCCCACGGCACCGCGGUCGCCGUCAAGAGGCUCAACCCCAACGGUGGCCAGGGACACAAGGAAUGGCUGGCUGAGGUUCAGUUUCUCGGCAUCGUGGAGCACCCGAACCUCGUCAAGCUCGUCGGCUACUGCGCAACACAGACCGAUCAAGGGCCGCAGAGGCUUCUGGUCUAUGAGUUCAUGCCCAACAAGACGCUGGACGACCACCUGUUCAACCCAGAGCACCCUGUCCUUCCAUGGGACGUCAGGUUGCAGGUAGCACUGGGUGCUGCUGAAGGGUUGCUCUAUCUCCAUGAGGGCCUUGAGCUUCAGAUUAUAUACCGCGACUUCAAGGCUGCAAACAUACUGUUGGAUGAGGAGUUCAGACCAAAACUGUCGGACUUCGGAUUAGCAAGGGAGGGGCCAUCAGAAGGUCAAACCCAUGUGUCUACAGUGGUAAUGGGAACCUACGGCUACGCAGCUCCAGACUAUGUCCAGACGGGGCAUCUCACCACCAAGAGCGACGUCUGGAGCUUCGGAGUGGUAAUGUAUGAAAUCCUCACUGCUCGACGCUCGGUAGAGAAAAAACGCCCCAAGAACGAACAGAAGCUCCUGGAGUGGGUGAGGCGGCACCCAGCCGACAGCGAACAGUUCAGCGAGAUCAUCGACACAAGGCUUGAAGGAAGGUACUCCAUGAGAGGAGCAAGAGAGAUUGCCAAGCUGGCCAACAGCUGCCUUGCAAAGUAUGCAAAGGACCGCCCCACAAUGGUGGAGGUGGUUGAGAGGCUGAAGCUGGCAAUGCAGCACAAGGAACUGGAUGGUCACGAUGUCCGUUCAGUGGAGGAAAGCUUGCUUCUUCAUGAGGCACCAACGACACCACCUAUGGAGGAUGAGGCUGCGGUGUCGGCAAGGCGGCGGAUGCUUCAUUUGGCUGCCCUAGGUGAGAAUGCAAAUGCUCAUGCAAGGAGAAGAUUGAUGCUCAUGAGGGCAGCUGCUCCUCGGACGUGUACCCUGUCAUCGUUGAGCUCUUGA